This 301-nucleotide ribosomal RNA is filed under the name uncultured bacterium. RNAcentral's name for it is "partial 16S ribosomal RNA". It matches the Rfam family "Bacterial small subunit ribosomal RNA", at positions 509 to 807 of the family's 1533-position model. The record is from RNAcentral.
CAGUCGCCGCGGGAAUACGGAGGGCGCAAGCGUUAAUCGGAAUUACUGGGCGUAAAGCGCACGCAGGCGGUUUGUUAAGUCAGAUGUGAAAUCCCCGAGCUUAACUUGGGAACUGCAUUUGAAACUGGCAAGCUAGAGUCUUGUAGAGGGGGGUAGAACCCCAGGUGUAGCGGUGAAAUGCGUAGAGAUCUGGAGGAAUACCGGUGGCGAGGGCGGCCCCCUGGACAAAGACUGACGCUCAGGUGCGAAAGCGUGGGGAGCAAACAGGAUUAGAUACCCCGGUAGUCCCUGUCUCUUAUAC